UGGGGAAUUUUGGACAAUGGGCGAAAGCCUGAUCCAGCAAUGCCGCGUGUGUGAAGAAGGCCUUCGGGUUGUAAAGCACUUUUGUCCGGAAAGAAAUCCUCUGGGUUAAUACCUCGGGGGGAUGACGGUACCGGAAGAAUAAGCACCGGCUAACUACGUGCCAGCAGCCGCGGUAAUACGUAGGGUGCAAGCGUUAAUCGGAAUUACUGGGCGUAAAGCGUGCGCAGGCGGUUUUGUAAGACGGAUGUGAAAUCCCCGGGCUUAACCUGGGAACUGCAUCGUGACUGCAAGGCUAGAGUAUGGCAGAGGGGGGUAGAAUUCCACGUGUGAGCAGUGAAAUGCGUAGAGAUGGUGGAGGAAUACCGAUGGCGAAGGCAGCCCCCUGGGCCAAUACUGACGCUCAUGCACGAAAGCGU
RNAcentral lists this ribosomal RNA (416 nucleotides) under uncultured bacterium. Its description in RNAcentral is "partial 16S ribosomal RNA". It matches the Rfam family "Bacterial small subunit ribosomal RNA", at positions 355 to 762 of the family's 1533-position model. The record is from RNAcentral.